Molecule: long non-coding RNA, 1271 nt
Organism: Equus quagga
Lineage: Eukaryota; Metazoa; Chordata; Mammalia; Perissodactyla; Equidae
Exons: 2
Source: RefSeq, a predicted model, not a curated record
UUCGGGGCGGCGCAGGCGCAGGAGGAGGGACCUGGGGCGCGCUGUGCACGUCCAUAACCAUCGUCGAGGAAGGAGAGCCACGUGUGACAAUAUGGACAGAUCUGACAAACAUGGUGUUAAAUGAGCGACACAUUGCGGAAGGAUGGGUGGAGAUGAAGACCUAAUAAGAUGCGUUAACCUAAUGCUACAUAAAGAAUUACCCCAAAACUCAGUGUCUUAAAACAGUGAACAUUAUCUUCUCACAGCUUUGUGGGCCAGGACUUGGAAGCGGCUGAGCUGGGUGCUUGGCUCACGGCCUCUUGAGGCGACGGUUGGGGUAUUGGCCAGGGUCGCAGUCACACAGUCAUCUGAAGGCUUCACCGGCCUGGCGGUCCUCUUCCACAGGGGCUCGCUCGCGUGCCUCACGAGUUGGUGUUGGCUGCUGGCAGGGGGCCCCCGUCCUCUCCCAAUGAGCCUUUCCACCAGCCGCUUGAAUGUCCUCUUGACAUGGAGGCUGGCUUCCCCUGAGAGAGAGAUCAAGAGAGACCAAGACUGAAGCCACAACAUUUUUCAUGACCCAGCCUCAAAAGUCACUCUCCAUCAUUUCUGCAACGUCCUGUUGGUUACACAGGUCAACUCUAUUCAACAUGGAUGGGAACUACAAAAAGGCUUGAAUACCCAAAGGCCAGACUCACUGAGGGCCAUCUCGGAGGUCGGCUGCCGCUUGAGAGAAUGUCAGAUCCCACAGGUUCUUCAUCAUCCGGUCCAGCUUGCCCUGAGGUGCCCGCCCGUGUCAUCUCAGCUCUGCUGAGCCCUCCGUCCUCGGGCCCCUCAUCCGGCGCCGAGGCGUACAGUGUCUCCUGUGCUUAACGCCAAGAGGGACGGCCGUUUGUAAGUCCUUUCAUAGCCUCCGCUACACCAAAGGCAUGGCUGAAAGCACACAUGGGGCCCAGAAGUUCUCGUCGAAUAACAAAAUAGUGACUUUUGUCUCUUCAGAUGUCACAUGAGAGUUUCAGGAUUCCAUACUUUCCCAGGAGUUUUCCUUGUUAUCUUACUAAUGUUUUCACCGUUAUCAAAAUUGCUUCAGUUGUUUGUAACUUUAAAGUCCCAUCAGGACCUGCGUUCCAAGACUUUAAACUACUGAAGCUUAACGUUGUAUUUAAUGAGGAGCAAAACCAAGUUAAUUCCCAUUCACAGAUGACAAGUGAACAGUUGGCAGCAAUUUCAACAUCUGCUUUUAAUUCAUUUAAGUGUGAUCAAAUGGUGAUUAAAAAAAGUGCUGGAAACUCUAA